This 107-nucleotide small nuclear RNA is filed under the name Tupaia belangeri (northern tree shrew). Lineage: Eukaryota; Metazoa; Chordata; Mammalia; Scandentia; Tupaiidae. The record is from RNAcentral.
GUGCUCGCUUCGGCAGCACAUAUACUAAAAUUGGAACGAUACAGAGAAGAUUAACAUGGCCCUUGUGCAAGGAUGACAUGCAAAUUCGUGAAGUGUUCCUUAUUUUU